CCCAUGUGCUCUUCUGGUUUCCUCAUUGGUGUUCAGGAAGAGGAGGCUGGGCUCUUCCCGGGGAGUGGAGUGCUAUGACAGAUGAGACUUUCAUGCAAGAAAAUAAAUCCUGCACUUUGAUGUACUGCUUUAAACUUAAAGACCUCUUUGGACCCGAAAUUGUAAGGAUUCUAUAAACCUGGAGAGUAAUCCUAAGAAAAAUCAUCAGAAGAAAGGAAUUUGUAGAACUAAAACUGCAAACAUCCAGAAUCUUGAUGGUGUGCCAAG
RNAcentral lists this long non-coding RNA (267 nucleotides) under Gorilla gorilla gorilla (western lowland gorilla). Its description in RNAcentral is "lncRNA (ENSGGOG00000044363.1)". Lineage: Eukaryota; Metazoa; Chordata; Mammalia; Primates; Hominidae. The record is from RNAcentral.